CGCAGAGCCAAUCCCCGGACGGCAGGGUUGGGUGAGCAGCUCUCUGACCCUGAAAGUGACCAGCGCCCUGAGCCGCGAUGGCAUCUCCUGUGAAGCCUCCAACCCCCACGGGAACAAGCGCCAUGUCUUCCACUUCGGCACCGUGAGCCCCCAGACCUCCCAGGCUGGAGUGGCCGUCAUGGCCGUGGCCGUCAGCGUGGGCCUCCUGCUCCUCGUCGUUGCUGUCUUCUACUGCGUGAGACGCAAAGGGGGCCCCUGCUGCCGCCAGCGGCGGGAGAAGGGGGCUCCGUGAGGGAGCCAGGGCUGAGCCACUCGGGGUCGGAGCAACCAGAGCAGACCGGCCUUCUCAUGGGAGGUGCCUCCGGAGGAGCCAGGGGUGGCAGCGGGGGCUUCGGAGACGAGUGCUGAGCCAAGAACCUCCUAGAGGCUGUCCCUGGACCUGGAGCUGCAGGCAUCAGAGAACCAGCCCUGCUCACGCCAUGCCCGCCCCCGCCUUCCCUCUUCCCUCUUCCCUCUCCCUGCCCAGCCCUCCCUUCCUUCCUCUGCCGGCAAGGCAGGGACCCACAGUGGCUGCCUGCCUCCGGGAGGGAAGGAGAGGGAGGGUGGGUGGGUGGGAGGGGGCCUUCCUCCAGGGAAUGUGACUCUCCCAGGCCCCAGAAUAGCUCCUGGACCCAAGCCCAAGGCCCAGCCUGGGACAAGGCUCCGAGGGUCGGCUGGCCGGAGCUAUUUUUACCUCCCGCCUCCCCUGCUGGUCCCCCCACCUGACGUCUUGCUGCAGAGUCUGACACUGGAUUCCCCCCCCUCACCCCGCCCCUGGUCCCACUCCUGCCCCCGCCCUACCUCCGCCCCACCCCAUCAUCUGUGGACACUGGAGUCUGGAAUAAAUGCUGUUUGUCAC
Molecule: long non-coding RNA, 898 nt
Filed under: Homo sapiens (human)
Lineage: Eukaryota; Metazoa; Chordata; Mammalia; Primates; Hominidae
Description: long non-coding RNA NONHSAT179792.1
Source: RNAcentral